AGCAGCCGCCGCGGUAAUACAGAGGGUGCGAGCGUUAAUCGGAUUUACUGGGCGUAAAGCGUGCGUAGGCGGCUUCUUAAGUCGGAUGUGAAAUCCCUGAGCUUAACUUAGGAAUUGCAUUCGAUACUGGGAAGCUAGAGUAUGGGAGAGGAUGGUAGAAUUCCAGGUGUAGCGGUGAAAUGCGUAGAGAUCUGGAGGAAUACCGAUGGCGAAGGCAGCCAUCUGGCCUAAUACUGACGCUGAGGUACGAAAGCAUGGGGAGCAAACAGGAUUAGAUACCCCUGUAGUCCCUGUCUCUUAUAA
This 303-nucleotide ribosomal RNA is filed under the name uncultured bacterium. RNAcentral describes it as "partial 16S ribosomal RNA". It matches the Rfam family "Bacterial small subunit ribosomal RNA", at positions 507 to 809 of the family's 1533-position model. The record is from RNAcentral.